This 174-nucleotide non-coding RNA is filed under the name Halolactibacillus alkaliphilus. The record is from RNAcentral. Lineage: Bacteria; Bacillati; Bacillota; Bacilli; Caryophanales; Bacillaceae.
UCUUCUGUGAGAGAGAAUCUGAAGGAACCCGGUCGUAAACACUCGCACUGACGAACAGAAACUUCAUAUGAAAGCUCGGUGGAAUGGCUAAACCUACUAUACAAGGCAAAGUCCAAUACUGUACGGAAUUUCGUUGAGUAAAUAAGGCAGUGACAUGAGUCGAAAGCGAGCUGG